CUACGGGAGGCACCAGUGGGGAAUAUUGGACAAUGGGGGAAACCCUGAUCCAGCAAUGCCGCGUGUGUGAAGAAGGCCUGCGGGUUGUAAAGCACUUUCGGUUGGGAGGACUGCUUCUAGCACUAAUAUUGUUGGAAGUUGACGUUACCUUCAGAAGAAGCACCGGCUAACUCCGUGCCAGCAGCCGCGGUAAUACGGAGGGGUGCAAGCGUUCAUCGGAAUUACUGGGCGUAAAGCGCGCGUAGGCGGCUAGAUCAGUCGGGUGUGAAAGCCCCGGGCUUAACCUGGGAACUGCAUCCGAUACUGUCUAGCUUGAGUACAGGAGAGGAGAGUGGAAUUCCACAUGUAGCGGUGAAAUGCGUAGAUAUGUGGAGGAACACCAAUGGCGAAGGCAGCUCUCUGGCCUGAUACUGACGCUGAGGUGCGAAAGCGUGGGGAGCAAACAGGAUUAGAUACCCUAGUAGUC
This 466-nucleotide ribosomal RNA is filed under the name uncultured bacterium. RNAcentral describes it as "partial 16S ribosomal RNA". It matches the Rfam family "Bacterial small subunit ribosomal RNA", at positions 339 to 795 of the family's 1533-position model. The record is from RNAcentral.